This 151-nucleotide small nuclear RNA is filed under the name Sorex araneus (European shrew). RNAcentral's name for it is "U1 spliceosomal RNA (ENSSARG00000019041.1)". The record is from RNAcentral. Lineage: Eukaryota; Metazoa; Chordata; Mammalia; Eulipotyphla; Soricidae.
AUACUUAAACUUGCAGAGGAGAAACCAUGAUCCGAAGCUGGUUUUCCCAGGUGAGUUGAUCCAUCACCAUGCUCCUUCUUUCGAUUUUCCCAGAGGUGCAAAACUUGAGUGCACUAUUCAUGGGAGUAGGGAGACAAUAUAUUUGCACUAC